Long non-coding RNA from Passer domesticus (house sparrow), 1609 nucleotides. RefSeq lists it as uncharacterized. The transcript has 4 exons. NCBI's taxonomy places the organism in Eukaryota, Metazoa, Chordata, Aves, Passeriformes, Passeridae. The record is from RefSeq and is a predicted model, not a curated record.
CGGCCCCCUCAGGGCUCGGCGCCUCGGUGUUUGAGUUGCUGGGUGUCCCCGAGCACCCACACAACGCGGUUCUCCUCGGGGAAAUGAGGCUCAUGACGGUGAGCCGUCCCUCGGGCAUCCCUGCCGGCGCCCCCGCUGACAGCCCGGGGCGCUGGUUUGUAAGGCUGCACAGCGCCCGGAGAACGAGGAUGGCUUAUUUGUGUUUAAUUCCGGAUGCGCCAAAUGUUUAAUGUCAGAAAAUCCGCGUAUUGUUUUUGAAAUGAGUUUCUAGUAAGAUCUAAGGGUUUAAGAUCAAAUAGUGCACAAACCUGCAUUUGGAAACAGAGACCUCAUCACAGCUGAGGUCAGCUUCUUGUCCACAUACAGUUUUUUAACUCAACAGGCAUGCAUGUACCUUAAUGCAUUUACAGAAAAUUCUGGUUUAGGGCCAAAGGAAAUUCGUCACUGCUGUAUUGACUGAGAAAGAGUUCUGUCAUAUUUACAAGCCUUGACAAUUCUUUUGGAGGACAUGAGAGCUGUCACUGGUCACUACUGACAUUCUGCUCUGUCAAUUUAUGAAUCAACAGCCCAGCUUCAAACUGCAUCCAGCCGUAUGCUGACAAUGGUUGGGAAAAUCCCACCUCCCUGGAGCAACUGUUCCUUGCCCCAAGCAGCAGCAGCACAUCACCCCAGGACCAAAGGCUUCCCUCCUGAACAAGCUGCUCACUGGGGGUCAGGGAAAUCAGUUAUUUCACUUGAUGAAAGGAGAGCACACAUCUGCCUCACCCCAGCAGGGCAGUGCAAGCUCCUAUGUACUCAGGUGCCAGAAGCCUCUGGGACUGCAGAGUUGGGCCCCUGCUGCUCAGGGGUUCCACUGAUGUGCAACAUCUGCAAACCUCUGUCUUGCCAAAAUGAACAGUUUCCAGUUUACCUGGUAAACUCCAGAGCAGUUUCCAAAGUGCUUUCCCUUAAUUUAGAGUCAUUCCUCUGGUCCCCUCUGAUGCUCUUCUUACACACCUUACAAAGAUGAGCCUGUUACAAACCACUGCUCUUUGGUAAUAACACCUGCUUUGUGUAACAUUUGGUGGCACUUUCAUGCUGGCUACAAAAAUAGGAACACCAAAUAUGACUUGUUUCAAACAAUUUAUUAGGUAGUAAUAAAUAAGAAUUUAGCAGAAAGGACUAUACAGCAAUAAGGCAUAUUGAUAGUAUAGUUGUAUAGGCAACUGACACACCUUCCUAACAUUUUCCUCUAGUUUUCUAAGAAAGUGCUAGGUAGAGAAAUGGAUUUCUGAUACCAGUGCCAAGUGAUAGCAGGGAUGCACGAUGAUGGAGCUGACUGUUGCAUUAUUUACCUUAAAUAAAGCAUAACAAAUCCAUGAAAAUUUACUGUUAUUUAGGCCUGUGAAGUUUAAGUAGAAAAUUACAGCUUGCUAAGAAGAAUACAAAAUACAAGUCUCCUGUUCAUGUUUUUAACAGCUUACUACUUUAAUUUCUCAAACUGCAGUUACUAGUAAGGUAUGAGUAAAGUUACUAUACAACAGCACAGUUCUUCACAUUCAUUUUAGCUUUUAUUUGAAAACUUAGAGGCAAGUGCUAAUUUUUAUUUUUUUAUAAAAGCUUUUUUUUU